Molecule: ribosomal RNA, 263 nt
Filed under: uncultured bacterium
Lineage: Bacteria
Description: partial 16S ribosomal RNA
Rfam family: Bacterial small subunit ribosomal RNA
Source: RNAcentral
UAAGGAGGGUGAAAGCGUUAAUCGGAAUUACUGGGCGUAAAGCGUGCGCAGGCGGUUAUAUAAGACAGAUGUGAAAUCCCCGGGCUCAACCUGGGAACUGCAUUUGUGACUGUAUAGCUAGAGUACGGCAGAGGGGGAUGGAAUUCCGCGUGUAGCAGUGAAAGGCGUAGAUAUGCGGAGGAACACCGAUGGCGAAGGCAAUCCCCUGAGACUGUACUGACGCUCAUGCACUACAGCGUGGGUCGCCAACCGGAUUAGAUACC